This 433-nucleotide ribosomal RNA is filed under the name uncultured bacterium. Its description in RNAcentral is "partial 16S ribosomal RNA". It matches the Rfam family "Bacterial small subunit ribosomal RNA", at positions 29 to 507 of the family's 1533-position model. The record is from RNAcentral.
AACGAACGCUGGCGGCAGGCCUAACACAUGCAAGUCGAGCGAGGACUUCGGUCCUAGCGGCGGACGGGUGAGUAACGCGUGGGAACGUGCCCUUUUCUUCGGAAUAGCCCUGGGAAACUGGGAGUAAUACCGGAUGAGCCCUUUGGGGGAAAGAUUUAUCCGCGAAGGAUCGGCCCGCGUUGGAUUAGGUAGUUGGUGGGGUAAUGGCCUACCAAGGCGACGAUCCAUAGCUGGGUUGAGAGGAUGAUCAGCCACACUGGGACUGAGACACGGCCCAGACUCCUACGGGAGGCAGCAGUGGGGAAUCUUAGACAAUGGGGGAAACCCUGAUCGAGCCAUGCCGCGUGAGCGAUGAAGGCCUUAGGGUUGUACAGCUCUUUCAGCUGGGAAGAUAAUGACGGUACCAGCAGAAGAAGCCCCGGCUAACUCCGUG